Molecule: ribosomal RNA, 253 nt
Filed under: uncultured bacterium
Lineage: Bacteria
Description: partial 16S ribosomal RNA
Rfam family: Bacterial small subunit ribosomal RNA
Source: RNAcentral
UACGGAGGGUGCAAGCGUUAUCCGGAUUCACUGGGUUUAAAGGGUGCGUAGGCGGACAGGUAAGUCAGUGGUGAAAUCUCUGGGCUUAACCCAGAAACUGCCGUUGAUACUAUUUGUCUUGAAUAUCCUGGAGGUAGGCGGAAUAUGUCAUGUAGCGGUGAAAUGCUUAGAUAUGACAUAGAACACCGAAAGCGAAGGCAGCUUACUACAGGAUGAUUGACGCUGAGGCACGAAAGCGUGGGGAGCAAACAGG